Cannabis sativa is the source of this 716-nucleotide long non-coding RNA. RefSeq lists it as uncharacterized. The transcript is spliced from 2 exons. The record is from RefSeq and is a predicted model, not a curated record. NCBI's taxonomy places the organism in Eukaryota, Viridiplantae, Streptophyta, Magnoliopsida, Rosales, Cannabaceae.
CAGCAGUGCAUGGACGAGCCACAAGGGUCCGAGGAGAAACUUUGUGUGGGAGGAUUAUAUCCUGGACUACUGCAGAGGGGUUCAUAAGUCCCAAGUCUUUGAGAGAUGGAGGGGUAACGAGUUUAUUUACUUCGUUCUGAACCUUCCCGAGGCAAGGCACUGGGUCACACUUGAAGUCGACAUAGAGCUGUGGAAAAUUAAUGUCUACGACUGUGAUUCCAGCGUCUAUCAUUGGACCGCCAUGGAACCCAUCCUGAAGACUUGGGGAGAACUGCUGCCCUCGCUAAUCCUUGCAACCGGGGAAUUUCCACAUAACAACCAGAUCAUGGCGUUAACUAACAGGGACAUCACGGUGCUUCCAAAAAUGCAUUCGACUCGAGCCACUCACGACUUAGUUCCGAAGUCAACAACCAGGUACAUAGCGAUAAAAAAGUACUAUAGUAUUAAAAUAUGUUUUACAUUAGACUGACUUUACAUUUUAUUUUGCAUUUAGUGGUGAUUGUGGCGUCUAUUGCAUUGAGUAUGUGGAGCAUCUCAUGAUGCAACGUGGAUUGACCGAUGUGACGCCAGGGCGGAUAGCUAUGUUUCGUCAACGGUGGUGUGUUGAUUUAUUUUACCAAAAUGUCGGCUGAUUAUAUGUGUAAUUAUUGGGACAUUGUAUAUUUUGUGUAAUUAACAUUACAGUUAUGUAUAUAUAGACUUUCUCUUCGUUCAAA